AGAGACAGCAGCCGCCACGGUAAUACGGAGGGUGCAAGCGUUAUCCGGAUUUAUUGGGUUUAAAGGGUCCGUAGGCGGACUUAUAAGUCAGUGGUGAAAGCCUGUCGCUUAACGAUAGAACUGCCAUUGAUACUGUAAGUCUUGAGUAUAUUUGAGGUAGCUGGAAUAAGUAGUGUAGCGGUGAAAUGCAUAGAUAUUACUUAGAACACCAAUUGCGAAGGCAGGUUACCAAGAUAUAACUGACGCUGAGGGACGAAAGCGUGGGUAGCGAACAGGAUUAGAUACCCGGGUAGUCCCUGUCUCUUAUAC
Molecule: ribosomal RNA, 309 nt
Filed under: uncultured bacterium
Lineage: Bacteria
Description: partial 16S ribosomal RNA
Rfam family: Bacterial small subunit ribosomal RNA
Source: RNAcentral